AAGACCCCAUGGAGCUUUAAACCCAAUUACACUCCUAUUUUUUAUUAACCUCUUAGACUAUGGAUAUUUGUAUAUUUGGUUUUAGGUUGGGGUGACCACGGAGCAUAACUUAGCCUCCAUGAUGAACGGGAUUUUACCCCUUAUCCAAGAACUACACCUCUAAGAACUAGUAUUCUAACAUAAAAUGAUCCGAUAAUCGAUCAACGAACCAAGUUACCCUGGGGAUAACAGCGCAAUCCACUUCAAGAGCUCCUAUCGACAAGUGGGUUUACGACCUCGAUGUUGGAUCAGGGUAUCCUAGUGGUGCAGCAAUUACUAAAGGUUCGUUUGUUCAACGAUUAAAACCCU
RNAcentral lists this ribosomal RNA (348 nucleotides) under Mantella baroni. RNAcentral describes it as "partial 16S ribosomal RNA". It matches the Rfam family "Bacterial large subunit ribosomal RNA", at positions 2085 to 2597 of the family's 2925-position model. The record is from RNAcentral. Lineage: Eukaryota; Metazoa; Chordata; Amphibia; Anura; Mantellidae.